Molecule: long non-coding RNA, 218 nt
Organism: Meriones unguiculatus (Mongolian gerbil)
Lineage: Eukaryota; Metazoa; Chordata; Mammalia; Rodentia; Muridae
Exons: 3
Source: RefSeq, a predicted model, not a curated record
GAUUGCCACAGGAAGGAGAAAUACAAUAGCUAUGGUGUAUGAAUGUGAGAAGAACGGAAUAAGAGGAUCAAACGGAGAGGGGAAGCGACGGGGAGACACUUGGUACCUUUUCUGGACCAUUGGAAUUUGAGCAAGAAACUGACAUCUUUAAAUUCUGGUACUUCCUUUCCUGGAGUAUACUUUCUUAGAUAGUCCGAGGGCGAUCAUGGAUUCAGCAG